UCUCUGUAAAACCAGUGUGCCAAGAAGGCUAGUAACAGAGCUGGAAAGUUAUCCCGUAUCCCGUCCCCCUUCCCAUACUCUGGGGACGUGCUGGCUCAUCGGGUUGGAAUUGUGCGGCUGUUCUGGGAUCUGAGGAUCUCCACACUUUUGGGCAGGUGUGGAGAUCCUGGCCAGGAUCUCCGUGGCCAGUUUUUUCCUGCUGUGGAGAGAGUGGUAACGACAGGAUUUGUGCAUAGUUUGUUACCCAAACGGAGUCAUUGUUGAACAAGAUAUCUUCAGGAAAGACUGGCAGUGUGGAAGCUUUGUAAAUUUGCCUUGUUAAAAACAAGCCCCAUCUUCGUACCUGCUGAAACCUAGUUCUCGUCCAGAGGCUAUGCGAUGAACAAAGGGGGCUAGUAAUACCGACCGCACGGGGUGCAGACAGCCCGGCCCACGCAGGUACACCGCUCCAGCCGGGGAGGGGAGGGCGGCUGUGUGUAAAGGACGCCUUUUAUUGUGACUCUUUCACCUCCCCCAGCCCAGCCCUGAGCCAUGAGAAGAGGAGCGUUGUCAAAGAGACAGGCCAAUUUUACCCAUCUUACACAAUAGCGCAUUACAGACUUUCCAAGAAGACGCCAUUCAGGGUGAAUCACCAAAUUCAGGAUGAAAAGGUUUUGAUUUGCAAAAGCGCUCAAGCAUUUCUCCUUAGAGCCGGAGAUGGCAAGGAAGGAACCGACGACGUGCGUGCAGCUGCCUCACCUUUGGGCCAGGUGCACUGGCACGCGCUCCGAGGUGGUGCGGGGCUCGUGCAGCCGGCAUUCACAGGCGCCUUUGUCACACCCUGGGUGCCCGGGCCGUGAGUGCCUUACUUAAAGGCAGAAAAGAGUGAGAGGGUGCUGGUGAUGGCGGGGUAUUGAAAUGUGUGCAACGGAGUCGAAACACGAAUUGCAGGUUCACGUCGACUGGAAUCACUGUUAAAAUUUUCCGGACCUCAAUUGGGUUUCGUGAACACAGGUAGGAGGUGAUGAGCAAGGAUGCUGGACUGAGGAUUGUAUCAUUUGGGAUGAUCUCAGCUACAAAUAGCAGAGAAAUCUCUCUGAGAUGACACAAGCCCUUCUGCUCAAAGUUUGGGCUUAGAACUAGCAACAUCACCCCCACCCGGGAGCUCGGACUUGUGGGAUCCUCAGCUCCAGACCACCCCUUCUGGAUCCGAAUCUGCAUUUUGACAAGAGACGUGGGUUACUUGUCUGCACACAUUGUAGUCUGGGAAGGCACAGCAUUAAACAAGGACCUUUUUUUUUUUUUUUUUUUUUAAAUGCAUUUCAGAUAGCAAGCCGGCUAGGGGUCAGCAGCGCGGGGGGCCUUAACUCAGCAAGUCAACGAUGUCAAGGAGGACCUGGGUGCUUUCCAUUUUUCUGCUCUGCUGUGCUGUGUGUGCUUCCUUUUCCACUCAGAUUUAUCUUUCUGUGGUCACAAGAUGGCUGUGGAAGCUGCAGGCCUUACCUCCCAGCACAGCGGAGGGAGGGGGUAGGAAAGGGAAGCUCCCCCCUCCUAUACGCCUUUUAGACAGCAGGGAAACAUUUGCCAGAAGCCACUCAAUAGAUUUCUCCUCGUGUUACACGUCUCAUAUCUGAUUGUCUAGAACUGCAGCGUGUUGCCCAUUCCUCAAUCGGGUGCUGGCAGAGGGACUGGAAUAAGGACGGUUGGCUAAGGCCAAUGCACAUUUACCCUCUGGGACAAGGUAGGAGCCUGGCCUCCUUGGAAGCACAUGGUGUAAGCAUAAACACAGUGUGUUUCUGUCACUGGGAAGAAACAAAGUUUCUCCCUAGAACUGACUUCCCAGCAAUCCUACUGAAGUCACAGAAUACUGCAUGUGCAAAGCCAAAUUAAAACACAGUCCUUGUUGGGGUCGUGUCUGUUUGAAAAUUUAAGAAGCAGAUGAUGUCUGAGAAUAUUCCUGAAGCUCAGAUUCCAAGGACCAGCGGAAUUGACCAGAAGGAACCUCAGAAAGGAAACAGGAGGGGAGGUCGUGACCUCUGCUGCCAGCACAGAGCUUGGAGCUGCU
Molecule: long non-coding RNA, 2044 nt
Organism: Prionailurus viverrinus (fishing cat)
Lineage: Eukaryota; Metazoa; Chordata; Mammalia; Carnivora; Felidae
Exons: 6
Source: RefSeq, a predicted model, not a curated record